Molecule: long non-coding RNA, 562 nt
Filed under: Brassica napus (rape)
Lineage: Eukaryota; Viridiplantae; Streptophyta; Magnoliopsida; Brassicales; Brassicaceae
Description: long non-coding RNA (BNAP_LNC017378)
Source: RNAcentral
UUCUGCCCUUCUGGUGAAUUUUCGUCCCGCGAUCAAUCCUGAAUAUUCUUCCGCUCCCGUUCUGAUGAGCUCAAUAUUUUUAAUAGACUCCAGAAUAACCUUAACCUUGAGGAUAAAAAUUUCCCGAGCCUUCGGCUUCCCGAGAAAUUCCAUAAAACCGAAAUUAGGGUUUUUUUUUUUUUUUUAAGACGGGGUAUUACAAGUGAACUCAUUAAAAAAAAUAUAUGGCUUCACCCCUGAUGAUAAUUAUACCUUUAGUUCUAUCUAACUGUCAUUUAAAGUAUACUUUAGGUUAUACAUAAUCAUAAUAUAUAAUUUCAACAUUAAUAUAUACAUCUUAUCCAGCGCAAAGCGCGGGUUACUAUAUAUGGUAUAUUAUUGUUUAGCUUACUUCGAAAACUGCUAUCUAUUGAGUGAUCAUGAAUCUUUGUGGAUUCUACACCUGAAUACUACAUUGUACCUCUGAAUUUUCAGAGUAGCUCAUAAUUAGGGACAUAAUUUGAGCAUAUCAAAUCUGCUCUUGCAAUCCCGCAAAAGGGUUUUCGUCGACAAAAUCUUCAUC